CCACAAGGGGUGAAGCUUGCGGUUUAAUUGGAGUCAACGCCGGAAAUCUCACCGGGGGCGACAGCAGGAUGAAAGCCAGAUUAAAGGUCUUGCCAGACGAGCUGAGAGGAGGUGCAUGGCCGUCGCCAGUUCGUGCCGUGAGGUGUCCUGUUAGGUCAGGCAACGAUCGAGACCCGCAUCCCCCGUUGCUAUUAGCCUUUGGCUAAGCACACUGGGGAGACCGCCGUCGAUAAGACGGAGGAAGGAGCGGGCCACGGCAGGUCAGUAUGCCCCGGAUCUCCCGGGCCACACGCGAGCUGCAAUGGCAGGCACAAUGGGUUCCGACCUCGAAAGGGGGAGGCAAUCUCGAAAACCUGCCGUAGUUGGGAUCGAGGGUUGAAACCCACCCUCGUGAACAUGGAAUCCCUAGUAAUCGCGUGUCACUAUCGCGCGGUGAAUACGUCCCUGCUCCUUGU
Molecule: ribosomal RNA, 455 nt
Filed under: uncultured archaeon
Lineage: Archaea
Description: bacterial SSU rRNA
Rfam family: Archaeal small subunit ribosomal RNA
Source: RNAcentral